RNAcentral lists this ribosomal RNA (253 nucleotides) under uncultured bacterium. RNAcentral's name for it is "partial 16S ribosomal RNA". It matches the Rfam family "Bacterial small subunit ribosomal RNA", at positions 524 to 776 of the family's 1533-position model. The record is from RNAcentral.
UACGGAGGGUGCAAGCGUUAUCCGGAUUCACUGGGUUUAAAGGGUGCGUAGGUGGGUUGAUAAGUCAGUGGUGAAAUCCCCGAGCUUAACUUGGGAACUGCCAUUGAUACUAUUGAUCUUGAAUACCGUGGAGGUCAGCGGAAUAUGUCAUGUAGCGGUGAAAUGCUUAGAUAUGACAUAGAACACCAAUUGCGAAGGCAGCUCGCUACACUAUUAUUGACGCUGAGGCACGAAAGCGUGGGGAUCAAACAGG